RNAcentral lists this ribosomal RNA (251 nucleotides) under uncultured bacterium. RNAcentral describes it as "partial 16S ribosomal RNA". It matches the Rfam family "Bacterial small subunit ribosomal RNA", at positions 524 to 776 of the family's 1533-position model. The record is from RNAcentral.
UACGUAGGGGGCAAGCGUUGUCCGGAAUCAUUGGGCGUAAAGCGCGUGUAGGCGGCCCGGUAAGUCCGCUGUGAAAGUCCAGGGCUCAACCCUGGAAUGCCGGUGGAUACUGUCGGGCUCGAGUCCGGAAGAGGCGAGUGGAAUUCCUGGUGUAGCGGUGAAAUGCGCAGAUAUCAGGAGGAACACCAAUGGCGAAGGCAGCUCGCUGGGACGGUACUGACGCUGAGUGCGAAGCGUGGGAGGCAAACAGG